RNAcentral lists this ribosomal RNA (448 nucleotides) under uncultured bacterium. RNAcentral describes it as "bacterial SSU rRNA". It matches the Rfam family "Bacterial small subunit ribosomal RNA", at positions 328 to 793 of the family's 1533-position model. The record is from RNAcentral.
CAGCCAGACUCCUACGGGAGGCAGCAGUCGGGAAUAUUGCGCAAUGGAGGAAACUCUGACGCAGUGACGCCGCGUAUAGGAAGAAGGUUUUCGGAUUGUAAACUAUUGUCGUGAGGGAAGAAAUUGACAGUACCUCAGGAGGAAGUUCCGGCUAACUACGUGCCAGCAGCCGCGGUAAUACGUAGGGGGCAAGCGUUAUCCGGAUUCACUGGGUGUAAAGGGAGCGUAGACGGCGACGCAAGUCUGGAGUGAAAGCCCGGGGCCCAACCCCGGGACUGCUCUGGAAACUGCGGCGCUGGAGUACAGGAGGGGCAGGCGGAAUUCCUGGUGUAGCGGUGAAAUGCGUAGAUAUCAGGAGGAACACCGGGGGCGAAGGCGGCCUGCUGGACCGUGACUGACGUUGAGGCUCGAGAGCGUGGGGAGCAAACAGGAUUAGAUACCCUCGUAA